GCCCCUGUGGCCUAAUGGAUAAGGCAUCGGCCUCCUAAGCCGGGGACUGUGGGUUCGAGUCCCACCAGGGGGUA
RNAcentral lists this transfer RNA (74 nucleotides) under Molorchus minor. Its description in RNAcentral is "tRNA-OTHER". It matches the Rfam family "tRNA". Rfam says of the family: Transfer RNA (tRNA) molecules are approximately 80 nucleotides in length. Their secondary structure includes four short double-helical elements and three loops (D, anti-codon, and T loops). The record is from RNAcentral. Lineage: Eukaryota; Metazoa; Arthropoda; Insecta; Coleoptera; Cerambycidae.